RNAcentral lists this ribosomal RNA (274 nucleotides) under uncultured bacterium. RNAcentral describes it as "partial 16S ribosomal RNA". It matches the Rfam family "Bacterial small subunit ribosomal RNA", at positions 523 to 796 of the family's 1533-position model. The record is from RNAcentral.
AUACGGAGGGUGCAAGCGUUAUCCGGAAUCAUUGGGUUUAAAGGGUCCGGAGGCGGGCUAAUAAGUCAGGGGUGAAAUCCCACAGCUUAACUGUGGAACUGCCCUUGAUACUGUUGGUCUUGAGUUACAGUGAAGUGGUUAGAAUGUGUAGUGUAGCGGUGAAAUGCAUAGAGAUUACACAGAAUACCGAUUGCGAAGGCAGAUCACUAACUGUAUACUGACGCUAAUGGACGAAAGCGUGGGGAGCGAACAGGAUUAGAUACCCUAGUAGUCC